This 509-nucleotide ribosomal RNA is filed under the name Epacris pulchella root associated fungus EP19. RNAcentral's name for it is "eukaryotic LSU rRNA". The stretch from base 169 to 322 matches the Rfam family "5.8S ribosomal RNA". Lineage: Eukaryota; Fungi. The record is from RNAcentral.
AAGGAUCAUUAAAAAAGGAUACUGGGCAACCGGUAGACCCCACCCGUGUCUCUCUACUCUUGUUGCUUUGGCAGGCCGUGGCCUCCACCGCGGGCUCUGCCUGCGUGUGCCUGCCAGAGGACCAAACUCUGAAUUUUAGUGAUGUCUGAGUACUAUAUAAUAGUUUAAAACUUUCAACAACGGAUCUCUUGGUUCUGGCAUCGAUGAAGAACGCAGCGAAAUGCGAUAAGUAAUGUGAAUUGCAGUAUUCAGUGAAUCAUCGAAUCUUUGAACGCACAUUGCGCCCGGUGGUAUUCCGCCGGGCAUGCCUGUUCGAGCGUCAUUAUAACCACUCAAGCUUGGCUUGGUAUUGGGGCUCGCGGUUCCGCGGCCCCUAAAAUCAGUGGCGGUGCCGGUGGGCUCUAAGCGUAGUAAAUCUCCUCGCUAUAGGGUCCCUCCGGUUGCCUGCCAGAACCCCCCCAUUUUUUUAGGUUGACCUCGGAUCAGGUAGGGAUACCCGCUGAACUUAA